UUUACCCUACAGGACAGUGAAGAGGAAAGGUCAGCCCCACGGCUCAACCAGCACCAUGUGCUUUACACUACAGGACAGUGAAGAGGAAAGGUCAGCCCCACGGCUCAACCAGCCCCAUGUGUUGCACCCUACAGGACAGUGAAGAGGAAAGGUCAGCCCCACGGCUCAACCAGCACCAUGUGUUGCACCCUACAGGACAGUGAAGAGGAAAGGUCAGCCCCACGGCUCAACCAGCACCAUGUGUUGCACCCUACAGGACAGUGAAGAGGAAAGGUCAGCCCCACGGCUCAACCAGCACCAUGUGUUGCACCCUACAGGACAGUGAAGAGGAAAGGUCAGCCCCACGGCUCAACCAGCACCAUGUGCUUUACCCUACAGGACAGUGAAGAGGAAAGGUCAGCCCCACGGCUCAACCAGCACCAUGUGUUGCACCCUACAGGACAGUGAAGAGGAAAGGUCAGCCCCACGGCUCAACCAGCACCACGUGUUGCACCCUACAGGACAGUGAAGAAGAAAGGUCAGCCCCACGGCUCAACCAGCACCAUGUGUUGCACCCUACAGGACAGUGAAGAGGAAAUACCAUACUCCAUCAACACCAAUCUGAAAUAACUGAAACGCCUCUAUGGUGGUGAA
This is a long non-coding RNA of Oncorhynchus keta (chum salmon), 633 nucleotides long. RefSeq lists it as uncharacterized. Lineage: Eukaryota; Metazoa; Chordata; Actinopteri; Salmoniformes; Salmonidae. The transcript has 3 exons. The record is from RefSeq and is a predicted model, not a curated record.